RNAcentral lists this unclassified non-coding RNA (331 nucleotides) under soil metagenome. Its description in RNAcentral is "partial contains 5.8S ribosomal RNA, internal transcribed spacer 2, and large subunit ribosomal RNA". The stretch from base 1 to 120 matches the Rfam family "5.8S ribosomal RNA", at positions 35 to 154 of the family's 154-position model. The record is from RNAcentral.
GAUGAAGAACGUAGCGAAAUGCGAUAAGUAAUGUGAAUUGCAGAAUUCAGUGAAUCAUCGAAUCUUUGAACGCACAUUGCGCCCCCUGGUAUUCCGGGGGGCAUGCCUGUUCGAGCGUCAUUUCACCACUCAAGCCUCGCUUGGUAUUGGGCAACGCGGUCCGCCGCGUGCCUCAAAUCGACCGGCUGGGUCUUCUGUCCCCUAAGCGUUGUGGAAACUAUUCGCUAAAGGGUGUUCGGGAGGCUACGCCGUAAAACAACCCCAUUUCUAAGGUUGACCUCGGAUCAGGUAGGGAUACCCGCUGAACUUAAGCAUAUCAAUCAGCGGAGGA